Molecule: ribosomal RNA, 425 nt
Filed under: uncultured bacterium
Lineage: Bacteria
Description: bacterial SSU rRNA
Rfam family: Bacterial small subunit ribosomal RNA
Source: RNAcentral
GGGGAAUAUUGCACAAUGGGCGCAAGCCUGAUGCAGCCAUGCCGCGUGUAUGAAGAAGGCCUUCGGGUUGUAAAGUACUUUCAGCGGGGAGGAAGGCGAUAAGGUUAAUAACCUUGUCGAUUGACGUUACCCGCAGAAGAAGCACCGGCUAACUCCGUGCCAGCAGCCGCGGUAAUACGGAGGGUGCAAGCGUUAAUCGGAAUUACUGGGCGUAAAGCGCACGCAGGCGGUCUGUCAAGUCGGAUGUGAAAUCCCCGGGCUCAACCUGGGAACUGCAUUCGAAACUGGCAGGCUAGAGUCUUGUAGAGGGGGGUAGAAUUCCAGGUGUAGCGGUGAAAUGCGUAGAGAUCUGGAGGAAUACCGAUGGCGAAGGCAGCCAUCUGGCCUAAUACUGACGCUGAGGGACGAAAGCAUGGGGAGCAAAC